This is a long non-coding RNA of Macadamia integrifolia, 383 nucleotides long. RefSeq lists it as uncharacterized. Lineage: Eukaryota; Viridiplantae; Streptophyta; Magnoliopsida; Proteales; Proteaceae. The record is from RefSeq and is a predicted model, not a curated record. The transcript is spliced from 2 exons.
AGACCCUCAAGAAAUUAAUGUUGGUUAACAUGCCCAAGUAGUCCACUGAAAAGCUUAAGGCUGACAAAAGGGUCAUCGUAGAAGAUUAGUAUUUUAUUUCAGCCUUGGAUUUCUGGUUCUCAGGAGAAAAUGAUGUAUUGUUCAGGAAGGAUUUUUGUCACUAUAGGCUUCUGCAAAUUUCCCCUGUUAUGUAUAUGUUUUGAAAAUAAAAGGUGGCUAGCUAGAGGCAAAUGGACGCGAUUGGAUUGAAGGGGGGAAAAAAGUGAAUUUUGAGAUUGCUGAGGUUGUGCCAUCCUGGUUAUUGAUUGCUUGAUCUUGUGUUCAAAACUUUGAGUUCAACUGAACAUCAAUUUGAAUUCUUUGAUUUCUGUGUGCUUUGAUUC